This 1553-nucleotide ribosomal RNA is filed under the name Escherichia coli. RNAcentral's name for it is "bacterial SSU rRNA". It matches the Rfam family "Bacterial small subunit ribosomal RNA". The record is from RNAcentral. Lineage: Bacteria; Pseudomonadati; Pseudomonadota; Gammaproteobacteria; Enterobacterales; Enterobacteriaceae.
UUAAAUUGAAGAGUUUGAUCAUGGCUCAGAUUGAACGCUGGCGGCAGGCCUAACACAUGCAAGUCGAACGGUAACAGGAAACAGCUUGCUGUUUCGCUGACGAGUGGCGGACGGGUGAGUAAUGUCUGGGAAACUGCCUGAUGGAGGGGGAUAACUACUGGAAACGGUAGCUAAUACCGCAUAACGUCGCAAGACCAAAGAGGGGGACCUUCGGGCCUCUUGCCAUCGGAUGUGCCCAGAUGGGAUUAGCUAGUAGGUGGGGUAACGGCUCACCUAGGCGACGAUCCCUAGCUGGUCUGAGAGGAUGACCAGCCACACUGGAACUGAGACACGGUCCAGACUCCUACGGGAGGCAGCAGUGGGGAAUAUUGCACAAUGGGCGCAAGCCUGAUGCAGCCAUGCCGCGUGUAUGAAGAAGGCCUUCGGGUUGUAAAGUACUUUCAGCGGGGAGGAAGGGAGUAAAGUUAAUACCUUUGCUCAUUGACGUUACCCGCAGAAGAAGCACCGGCUAACUCCGUGCCAGCAGCCGCGGUAAUACGGAGGGUGCAAGCGUUAAUCGGAAUUACUGGGCGUAAAGCGCACGCAGGCGGUUUGUUAAGUCAGAUGUGAAAUCCCCGGGCUCAACCUGGGAACUGCAUCUGAUACUGGCAAGCUUGAGUCUCGUAGAGGGGGUAGAAUUCCAGGUGUAGCGGUGAAAUGCGUAGAGAUCUGGAGGAAUACCGGUGGCGAAGGCGGCCCCCUGGACGAAGACUGACGCUCAGGUGCGAAAGCGUGGGGAGCAAACAGGAUUAGAUACCCUGGUAGUCCACGCCGUAAACGAUGUCGACUUGGAGGUUGUGCCCUUGAGGCGUGGCUUCCGGAGCUAACGCGUUAAGUCGACCGCCUGGGGAGUACGGCCGCAAGGUUAAAACUCAAAUGAAUUGACGGGGGCCCGCACAAGCGGUGGAGCAUGUGGUUUAAUUCGAUGCAACGCGAAGAACCUUACCUGGUCUUGACAUCCACGGAAGUUUUCAGAGAUGAGAAUGUGCCUUCGGGAACCGUGAGACAGGUGCUGCAUGGCUGUCGUCAGCUCGUGUUGUGAAAUGUUGGGUUAAGUCCCGCAACGAGCGCAACCCUUAUCCUUUGUUGCCAGCGGUCCGGCCGGGAACUCAAAGGAGACUGCCAGUGAUAAACUGGAGGAAGGUGGGGAUGACGUCAAGUCAUCAUGGCCCUUACGACCAGGGCUACACACGUGCUACAAUGGCGCAUACAAAGAGAAGCGACCUCGCGAGAGCAAGCGGACCUCAUAAAGUGCGUCGUAGUCCGGAUUGGAGUCUGCAACUCGACUCCAUGAAGUCGGAAUCGCUAGUAAUCGUGGAUCAGAAUGCCACGGUGAAUACGUUCCCGGGCCUUGUACACACCGCCCGUCACACCAUGGGAGUGGGUUGCAAAAGAAGUAGGUAGCUUAACCUUCGGGAGGGCGCUUACCACUUUGUGAUUCAUGACUGGGGUGAAGUCGUAACAAGGUAACCGUAGGGGAACCUGCGGUUGGAUCACCUCCUUACCUUAAAGAA